Molecule: ribosomal RNA, 497 nt
Filed under: uncultured Amanita
Lineage: Eukaryota; Fungi; Basidiomycota; Agaricomycetes; Agaricales; Amanitaceae
Description: eukaryotic LSU rRNA
Rfam family: 5.8S ribosomal RNA (bases 116-269)
Source: RNAcentral
UUUUUUUCUUUUGCUCCGCCUUUGCACUGCCUGAAGGGACCGUUGUGUCUAUGAUAUGUUUUACCCCCUCCCAUGUGUUAUGGAUGUAUAUUGGAUGGCAUUUUUAUGUGAAUACCACUUUCAACUAUGGAUCUCUUGGCUCUCGCAUCCAUGAAGAACACAGCGAAAUGUGAUAAGUUAUGUGAAUUGCAGAAUCCAGUGAAUCAUCGAAUCUUUGAACGCCUCUUGCGCUCCUUGGUAUUCUGAGGAGCAUGCCUGUUUGAGUGUCAUUAAACUAUCAGAACACUACUUUUCUUUGGGUGUUUUGGACUUUGGGAGUGCUUUGCUGGUUUGCUUUUUCAAACCCAUCUCUCCUUAAAAGCAUUAGAUUGGAGAACCAUCUGUGUUGAAAUUGCUUGUUUACACUGACUUGAGUGUCUCUGCCUCUGCUAUUAUUUUUUGAUACCUUUGACCUCAAAUCGGGUAAGACUACCCGCUGAACUUAAGCAUAUCAAUAA